AAACUCUAAUCGCCGAUCCGAAGUAAGAACUCCUAAUCGACCUCCUCUCUCUCUCUCUCUCUCUCUCAAGGUAUUUCAGAUGGCAGACUUGAAGGCUGUUAAAGUUGCACCUUUUGCACCAGUUGACCCAAUGAAAACGAAGAAGAAAAAGAAGGUUAUUCAACAGUUAGUUGACGAUACCGGCCACUUAUACUUAGCAGAAAAUCUUGAACCUUCAUUUACUGGUCUGAAAAAGAAAAAGAAGAAACAGG
Molecule: long non-coding RNA, 251 nt
Organism: Helianthus annuus (common sunflower)
Lineage: Eukaryota; Viridiplantae; Streptophyta; Magnoliopsida; Asterales; Asteraceae
Exons: 4
Source: RefSeq, a predicted model, not a curated record